UGGUUCUCCUAUAAAGGUUAUUCUGUUUCUUUUUUUUUUUUUUUUUAGAUAGUAUUGCAAAAAGUAAAAACAUAUGCUAUACCUGAUCUAAGAGUUAAUCUCAGCAAUAAGUAAGAAAUUUAAUAUUUAAAUAUUUUAUCAAGUUGUACGCAUAGGAAUAUUAUCCCAAUUGAAGAGCAUAAUGGGUUAAUGUUACUAGAGGACGUGUUUUAGUAAUUACU
Molecule: non-coding RNA, 221 nt
Organism: Pelobates cultripes (western spadefoot toad)
Lineage: Eukaryota; Metazoa; Chordata; Amphibia; Anura; Pelobatidae
Source: the annotation of a GenBank genome assembly